This 552-nucleotide long non-coding RNA is filed under the name Brassica napus (rape). RNAcentral's name for it is "long non-coding RNA (BNAP_LNC015742)". The record is from RNAcentral. Lineage: Eukaryota; Viridiplantae; Streptophyta; Magnoliopsida; Brassicales; Brassicaceae.
GGUCUUGAGAGAUGACAUCGGUUUCAUGUAAAUGACAUCAUAUGAAUAUGAGCUCAUGACAUUAGCAUGAUCAAUGUUCGUUAUUGUCGUCAAUAAGACUCUUAGCUUCAACAAAUAGAAAGAUGCAUAUUCUUCGUGAAGAAUUUACAAAGUAAUACGUCUCUUUUUCCUUUCAUUGAAUAAUUAAACGGUGGACGAAUUCUUUAUUCAUUAUGGAAACAUAAUGAUUCGAUAAUCAUGGGUGAUUAUAAUAUGUGUGAUCGUUUCUCCUGCUGAGUGAGAGAUCUCUUUAAGUCACAAGCUCUCAUGAUCCUCAAAUUACUAUUACGAAGACGUGUUACAUUCAAUGUCUUGAUACAGAGAUUCCUCUUUCUUGUUUUCACCAAUCUCAUGGCUUAGCAAAUUAUGUCUCUUAUUAAACAUUAUCAGACGUAGAAGGAACCUCGUUUUUUCUCCUUCAACCAGACAUAGUUUUCCUCUCCUUUGUUGAAUUUAUGUUCUCUUAUAUUUGUGUACUUUUUCUGGAAAGAUCAUAUGGAUUGUGAGGGCGAC